UUAAGCGACUAAGCGUACACGGUGGAUGCCCUGGCAGUCAGAGGCGAUGAAGGACGUGCUAAUCUGCGAAAAGCGUCGGUAAGGUGAUAUGAACCGUUAUAACCGGCGAUGUCCGAAUGGGGAAACCCAGUGCAAUUCGUUGCACUAUCGUUAACUGAAUACAUAGGUUAACGAGGCGAACCGGGGGAACUGAAACAUCUAAGUACCCCGAGGAAAAGAAAUCAACCGAGAUUCCCCCAGUAGCGGCGAGCGAACGGGGAGCAGCCCAGAGUCUGAAUCAGCUUGUGUGUUAGUGGAACGGUCUGGAAAGUCCGACGGUACAGGGUGAUAGUCCCGUACACCAAAAUGCACAGGCUGUGAACUCGAAGAGUAGGGCGGGACACGUGGUAUCCUGUCUGAAUAUGGGGGGACCAUCCUCCAAGGCUAAAUACUCCUGACUGACCGAUAGUGAACCAGUACCGUGAGGGAAAGGCGAAAAGAACCCCGGCGAGGGGAGUGAAAAAGAACCUGAAACCGUGUACGUACAAGCAGUGGGAGCACCUUCGGGUGUGACUGCGUACCUUUUGUAUAAUGGGUCAGCGACUUAUAUUCUGUAGCAAGGUUAACCGUAUAGGGGAGCCGCAGGGAAACCGAGUCUUAACUGGGCGUUAAGUUGCAGGGUAUAGACCCGAAACCCGGUGAUCUAGCCAUGGGCAGGUUGAAGGUUGGGUAACACUAACUGGAGGACCGAACCGACUAAUGUUGAAAAAUUAGCGGAUGACUUGUGGCUGGGGGUGAAAGGCCAAUCAAACCGGGAGAUAGCUGGUUCUCCCCGAAAGCUAUUUAGGUAGCGCCUCGUGAAUUCAUCUUCGGGGGUAGAGCACUGUUUCGGCUAGGGGGUCAUCCCGACUUACCAACCCGAUGCAAACUACGAAUACCGAAGAAUGUUAUCACGGGAGACACACGGCGGGUGCUAACGUCCGUCGUGAAGAGGGAAACAACCCAGACCGCCAGCUAAGGUCCCAAAGUCAUGGUUAAGUGGGAAACGAUGUGGGAAGGCACAGACAGCCAGGAUGUUGGCUUAGAAGCAGCCAUCAUUUAAAGAAAGCGUAAUAGCUCACUGGUCGAGUCGGCCUGCGCGGAAGAUGUAACGGGGCUAAACCAUGCACCGAAGCUGCGGCAGCGACACUAUGUGUUGUUGGGUAGGGGAGCGUUCUGUAAGCCUGCGAAGGUGUGCUGUGAGGCAUGCUGGAGGUAUCAGAAGUGCGAAUGCUGACAUAAGUAACGAUAAAGCGGGUGAAAAGCCCGCUCGCCGGAAGACCAAGGGUUCCUGUCCAACGUUAAUCGGGGCAGGGUGAGUCGACCCCUAAGGCGAGGCCGAAAGGCGUAGUCGAUGGGAAACAGGUUAAUAUUCCUGUACUUGGUGUUACUGCGAAGGGGGGACGGAGAAGGCUAUGUUAGCCGGGCGACGGUUGUCCCGGUUUAAGCAUGUAGGCUGGUUAUCCAGGCAAAUCCGGAUAAUCAAGGCUGAGGUGUGAUGACGAGGCACUACGGUGCUGAAGUAACAAAUGCCCUGCUUCCAGGAAAAGCCUCUAAGCAUCAGGUAACAUCAAAUCGUACCCCAAACCGACACAGGUGGUCAGGUAGAGAAUACCAAGGCGCUUGAGAGAACUCGGGUGAAGGAACUAGGCAAAAUGGUGCCGUAACUUCGGGAGAAGGCACGCUGGUGUGUAGGUGAAGUCCCUGCGGAUGGAGCUGAGACCAGUCGAAGAUACCAGCUGGCUGCAACUGUUUAUUAAAAACACAGCACUGUGCAAACACGAAAGUGGACGUAUACGGUGUGACGCCUGCCCGGUGCCGGAAGGUUAAUUGAUGGGGUUAUCCGUAAGGAGAAGCUCUUGAUCGAAGCCCCGGUAAACGGCGGCCGUAACUAUAACGGUCCUAAGGUAGCGAAAUUCCUUGUCGGGUAAGUUCCGACCUGCACGAAUGGCGUAAUGAUGGCCAGGCUGUCUCCACCCGAGACUCAGUGAAAUUGAACUCGCUGUGAAGAUGCAGUGUACCCGCGGCAAGACGGAAAGACCCCGUGAACCUUUACUAUAGCUUGACACUGAACAUUGAGCCUUGAUGUGUAGGAUAGGUGGGAGGCUUUGAAGCGUGGACGCCAGUCUGCGUGGAGCCAACCUUGAAAUACCACCCUUUAAUGUUUGAUGUUCUAACGUUGGCCCCUGACCGGGGUUGCGGACAGUGUCUGGUGGGUAGUUUGACUGGGGCGGUCUCCUCCCAAAGCGUAACGGAGGAGCACGAAGGUUAGCUAAUCCUGGUCGGACAUCAGGAGGUUAGUGCAAUGGCAUAAGCUAGCUUGACUGCGAGCGUGACGGCGCGAGCAGGUGCGAAAGCAGGUCAUAGUGAUCCGGUGGUUCUGAAUGGAAGGGCCAUCGCUCAACGGAUAAAAGGUACUCCGGGGAUAACAGGCUGAUACCGCCCAAGAGUUCAUAUCGACGGCGGUGUUUGGCACCUCGAUGUCGGCUCAUCACAUCCUGGGGCUGAAGUAGGUCCCAAGGGUAUGGCUGUUCGCCAUUUAAAGUGGUACGCGAGCUGGGUUUAGAACGUCGUGAGACAGUUCGGUCCCUAUCUGCCGUGGGCGCUGGAGAAUUGAGGGGGGCUGCUCCUAGUACGAGAGGACCGGAGUGGACGCAUCACUGGUGUUCGGGUUGUCAUGCCAAUGGCACUGCCCGGUAGCUAAAUGCGGAAGAGAUAAGUGCUGAAAGCAUCUAAGCACGAAACUUGCCCCGAGAUGAGUUCUCCCUGAGACUUUAAGUCUCCUGAAGGAACGUUGAAGACGACGACGUUGAUAGGCCGGGUGUGUAAGCGCAGCGAUGCGUUGAGCUAACCGGUACUAAUGAACCGUGAGGCUUAACCU
Molecule: ribosomal RNA, 2899 nt
Filed under: Klebsiella pneumoniae
Lineage: Bacteria; Pseudomonadati; Pseudomonadota; Gammaproteobacteria; Enterobacterales; Enterobacteriaceae
Description: 23S ribosomal RNA
Rfam family: Bacterial large subunit ribosomal RNA
Source: RNAcentral